RNAcentral lists this ribosomal RNA (166 nucleotides) under Malus transitoria. Its description in RNAcentral is "5.8S ribosomal RNA". The stretch from base 3 to 150 matches the Rfam family "5.8S ribosomal RNA". Rfam says of the family: 5.8S ribosomal RNA (5.8S rRNA) is a component of the large subunit of the eukaryotic ribosome. The record is from RNAcentral. Lineage: Eukaryota; Viridiplantae; Streptophyta; Magnoliopsida; Rosales; Rosaceae.
CGGCAACGGAUAUCUCGGCUCUCGCAUCGAUGAAGAACGUAGCGAAAUGCGAUACUUGGUGUGAAUUGCAGAAUCCCGUGAACCAUCGAGUCUUUGAACGCAAGUUGCGCCCGAAGCCAUCAGGCCGAGGGCACGCCUGCCUGGGCGUCACACGYCGUUGCCCUCC